RNAcentral lists this ribosomal RNA (1170 nucleotides) under Microbacterium sp. RNAcentral describes it as "bacterial SSU rRNA". It matches the Rfam family "Bacterial small subunit ribosomal RNA", at positions 170 to 1350 of the family's 1533-position model. Lineage: Bacteria; Bacillati; Actinomycetota; Actinomycetes; Micrococcales; Microbacteriaceae. The record is from RNAcentral.
UGGAUACGAGACGUGGCCGCAUGGUCAACGUUUGGAAAGAUUUUUUGGUUCAGGAUGGGCUCGCGGCCUAUCAGCUUGUUGGUGAGGUAAUGGCUCACCAAGGCGUCGACGGGUAGCCGGCCUGAGAGGGUGACCGGCCACACUGGGACUGAGACACGGCCCAGACUCCUACGGGAGGCAGCAGUGGGGAAUAUUGCACAAUGGGCGAAAGCCUGAUGCAGCAACGCCGCGUGAGGGAUGACGGCCUUCGGGUUGUAAACCUCUUUUAGCAAGGAAGAAGCGAAAGUGACGGUACUUGUAUUUUUAUGCGCCGGCUAACUACGUGCCAGCAGCCGCGGUAAUACGUAGGGCGCAAGCGUUAUCCGGAAUUAUUGGGCGUAAAGAGCUCGUAGGCGGUUUGUCGCGUCUGCUGUGAAAACUGGAGGCUCAACCUCCAGCCUGCAGUGGGUACGGGCAGACUAGAGUGCGGUAGGGGAGAUUGGAAUUCCUGGUGUAGCGGUGGAAUGCGCAGAUAUCAGGAGGAACACCGAUGGCGAAGGCAGAUCUCUGGGCCGUAACUGACGCUGAGGAGCGAAAGGGUGGGGAGCAAACAGGCUUAGAUACCCUGGUAGUCCACCCCGUAAACGUUGGGAACUAGUUGUGGGGACCAUUCCACGGUUUCCGUGACGCAGCUAACGCAUUAAGUUCCCCGCCUGGGGAGUACGGCCGCAAGGCUAAAACUCAAAGGAAUUGACGGGGACCCGCACAAGCGGCGGAGCAUGCGGAUUAAUUCGAUGCAACGCGAAGAACCUUACCAAGGCUUGACAUAUACGAGAACGCUGCAGAAAUGUAGAACUCUUUGGACACUCGUAUACAGGAGGAAAAAAGGUUGUCGUCAGCUCGUGUCGUGAGAUGUUGGGUUAAGUCCCGCAACGAGCGCAACCCUCGUUCUAUGUUGCCAGCACGUAAUGGUGGGAACUCAUGGGAUACUGCCGGGGUCAACUCGGAGGAAGGUGGGGAUGACGUCAAAUCAUCAUGCCCCUUAUGUCUUGGGCUUCACGCAUGCUACAAUGGCCGGUACAAAGGGCUGCAAUACCGUGAGGUGGAGCGAAUCCCAAAAAGCCGGUCCCAGUUCGGAUUGAGGUCUGCAACUCGACCUCAUGAAGUCGGAGUCGCUAGUAAUCGCAGAUC